UGUGUUAUAGUAUAUGAUGUACAAGAAAUUUUGAUUUUCUAAGGGAUGGUUUAAUUCCAUUUAAUGCAA
This 69-nucleotide transfer RNA is filed under the name Creophilus maxillosus. Its description in RNAcentral is "tRNA-Gln". The record is from RNAcentral. Lineage: Eukaryota; Metazoa; Arthropoda; Insecta; Coleoptera; Staphylinidae.